RNAcentral lists this ribosomal RNA (276 nucleotides) under uncultured bacterium. Its description in RNAcentral is "partial 16S ribosomal RNA". The record is from RNAcentral.
CUGCUGCCUCCCGUAGGAGUCUGGUCCGUGUCUCAGUACCAGUGUGGGGGACCUUCCUCUCAGAACCCCUACGCAUCGUCGGUUAGGUGGGCCGUUACCCCGCCUACUGCCUAAUGCGCCGCAUGCCCAUCCCUGUCCGGCCGAAGCCUUUCCUGCCUCCGGGAUGCCCCGGUGGCAUGUACGCGGGUUUAGCCCGCCUUUCGGCGGGUUGUCCCCCUGACAGGGGCAGGUUGCAUACGUGUUACUCACCCGUGCGCCGGUCGCCCGGCGGAGAAA